This is a non-coding RNA of Podarcis lilfordi (Lilford's wall lizard), 70 nucleotides long. The record is from the annotation of a GenBank genome assembly. Lineage: Eukaryota; Metazoa; Chordata; Lepidosauria; Squamata; Lacertidae.
GGAUGUAGUUCAGUCAUACAGACUCUGCUUUGAAUGCAGAAGGUGCUGGGUUCAAUCCCUAGCAUCUCCA